GAUGAACGCUAGCGGCAGGCCUAAUACAUGCAAGCUGAACGGCAAGAUUGGUAGCAAUACUGAUCCUAGAGUAGCGUAAGGGUGCGUAACACGUAUGCAAUCUACCCGCAACAGGAGGAUAGCUCUCCGAAAGGGGAAGUUAAGACUCCAUAAUAUCAUUUGUAGGGCAUCUGAAGAUGAUUAAACUACAAGGGGUUGUGGAUGAGCAUGCGUCUGAUUAG
RNAcentral lists this ribosomal RNA (221 nucleotides) under uncultured bacterium. Its description in RNAcentral is "partial 16S ribosomal RNA". It matches the Rfam family "Bacterial small subunit ribosomal RNA", at positions 28 to 244 of the family's 1533-position model. The record is from RNAcentral.